Molecule: ribosomal RNA, 433 nt
Filed under: uncultured bacterium
Lineage: Bacteria
Description: partial 16S ribosomal RNA
Rfam family: Bacterial small subunit ribosomal RNA
Source: RNAcentral
AGCGAACGCUGGCGGCAGGCCUAACACAUGCAAGUCGAACGACCUCUCCGGAGUUAGUUGCGGUCGGGUGAGUAACACGUGGGAACGUGCCUUUUUGCUCGGAAUAACUCAGGGAAACUUGUGCUAAUACCGAAUGAGCCCUUCUGGGGACAUAUUGAUCGCGCUUAGAACCGCCCGCGUGUGACUAGCAAGGGGGUGAGGGAACGGCGCACGACGGCGACGAUAAGUAGCUGGUCUGAGAGGAUCAGCCGCGACGCUGCGUCGAAGACACGGCCCAGACUACUACGCGAGGCAGCAAUGGGGAAUCUUGCGCAAUGGGCGAAAGCCUGACGCAGCCAGGCCGGGUAAAUGAUGAAGUUGUGAGGAUUAUAAAACUCUUUCACCGGGGGCGAUAAUGACGGUACCCAGAGAAGAAGCACCGGCUAACUUCGUG